UUCACAGUCUUGUCUGUCAAACACCUUCAGUUGUAAAUAGUACACCUCUUGCUUGCUUCAGCUUUAGAUAUUAAUUCAGUUCACUGCUAUGUUCCAUUCCUAAUAGAUAUAUUUUGGUUCUUUUUAGUUCAGUGAGUGCUUGAUAGUACUAAUUUCUAUUAACAUUUAGCUUUUAUUCGGAUUAUUUAGUAUUGUUAGUUAAACUCACUAAGACACCUGUACUGCUCUCAUGUUGUUUUCAAUGCCAUGCAAACUUUUACAUUUUUGUUCAGUGGGGUUCUUCCACCCACUUUAUAUAGUGAGUAUGAUGUCAUGGUCUGGAAUAGUUACUCUGGUUAGCUUGGACCACCUGUCCUGGUUGUGUCUAUUCCCAACCUCCCAUGUCCUCCAACUCCCUUGAGAGUGUGGCUGUACAACAAGCAGAAAAGGCAUCUGUGUAAGCCCUGCUCAGCAAUAACAUAAACAUCUCUGUCAUCAAUUCUGUCUUCAGCAAAAAUCCAAAACACAUCUCCAUACUAAUUACUAGGAAGAAAUUUAAUUCUACUCCAGCCAAAAGCAGCACAUUCCAUCCCUUAUUCUGUACCACUUACAUCCUGCUCAGGUCCCACAGCAUUCAGUACAUCACUGCCCACCACCUCUCUUCCUCCUCCGUAAUAUAAUACUCAGACAUUGUUUCCCGCUUGAGUUCAUUUAGUCAACAACUUUGGGCUUCAUCUCUUAUGGUGGUCACAAGGGACAAGAGAGGCGGUGUGUGAUGUGGAGUUACUGGACACCAAAGCCAGCUCAGGCCAGGUCACUGCUCACUGAAACUGCUUCUUGUAAGUCUUCCCGUGUUGGUUCAGAUGGUUCCUGAUCUAUUAAGUCCUGUAAUAAUCAACUCAAAUGGCUUAUAAAAAUUUAUAUAUAAAUCCAUCACAAUCUCCACUGAUUGUCUUUUGGCCCUGGUUUUAGGGUUUAACAUUGCAAUAAACUCCUCCCUUUGUCCCCAGCUUGGUUGCAAUAAGGGGCUCCUGUUACAGAGUAAGUUCACCAUCAGUAUAGUCCACAUCAUAGUCCUCCAUGGGCUGCAGGGGCCCAGCUGCACCAACAUGGUCUUCACUGCGGGCUGCAAGUGAAUCUUGGCUUCUCCUGCUCCAGCAUGGGGUCCCACCCGCAGGAGAUAAUCCUCCUUGCACUUGUCCAUUAUGGGUCCUUCUCAUGAGCUGCAGUUCUUCACAAGGCUCUCCUGUGUGGGACCUCUGUGAGGUCACAAGUCCUGCCAGCAAGGACUUAAAAGGAGCAAGAACUUUAACCCAGGUAGUUGUUCUAAGGGAACCACAGUCCCAGUAGGAAAGGGGAGGUGGGAACCAGCCCCUUCACAGCCCUGAGACAGUUGUUUCCCAGGAAAAGCCAAAGGGUGCAUCAGCAUCCCGGCAAGUGGCUGUUUACUGGGAAGAGGACCCAACCCUGGCCAGGCAGGAGGUGGAAUAAGGAGGAAACAACUCUAAACACAGGGAAAGAUGGGGCUCCAGGUGCUCAUCCCGGCAAGCUCCCUGCGGCAAUCCUGCUCUGUCACAGGAAUCUCACAAGGUCACAUCCUCCUUCAGGCACUCACCUGCUCUGGUAUGAUACGUCCUUUUCCCAAGUGGUGAGAAAUUGUUCUUCAUUUCAGAUAUGUGUAUACCAAGACUCAAGGAGUAGUUAUUAAUCUACUGGUAGCAGUACUCCCUCAGCUGAAACACUUUGCCUGCUUUAAGCACAGCACUUUGGGAAAGAAUUUUGGUGGAGAAUAUCAAGAGACAAGCAAUGAAAAUGGUUUCCUUGCUAAUGAGCUGCUAAGAUAUGGACUGGGCAGAAGAAUAGCAAAACUGAUGGGAAUUGAAUACACACCAAGUUUGUAGAUGGCAUCAAAUUGGGAAGAGAAGUACAUGAGUCUGGACAGAGGAGUCUCAAUCCAUCUGAUAUCUGCAGGCUAGAAAACAGACCAGCAAGAACUCCAUAAAAAUUAACAAAAAGUAAAUAUUAAAUCCUGCUCUUGGGACAGAAUAAUUAUAAUCUCUAUAUCUAAAAGCUAGGGUCUGAUAGCUGAGGAUCAAAUGCAGUUAAAAGGUCCUGGGAUUCCAGGGGCUCAAUAUGACUCAAAAGUGUGUCUUGGCAGCAAGGAAGGGCAAUAGCUUCCAGGUGUGAAUCUGAAAAAUAUACCAGCAGACUGUAGGAUUGUUCCACACUACUCAACAUGUGGUAUGCCACACAUGGGAAAGUAAACUGAUCCUUCUAGCUGAAGAGAGACAUUGAUAUAUCCAUACAUGACUGCCAAGAUGAUGAGAUAUCUUGGGAAGAUAUGAAGAAAACGUUGAGGGAACUGAAUCUGUUCCACCUCAAGAACAGAAGUCUGGUCGGAUGUAGAUGGAGGAGAACCAUAUUCCAAUCACACUCAUUAAAUUAAAAGCACUUACAGAGAAGAUGGAUAAAU
Molecule: long non-coding RNA, 2452 nt
Organism: Cyanistes caeruleus (blue tit)
Lineage: Eukaryota; Metazoa; Chordata; Aves; Passeriformes; Paridae
Source: RefSeq, a predicted model, not a curated record